Molecule: ribosomal RNA, 816 nt
Filed under: uncultured Gemmatimonadota bacterium
Lineage: Bacteria; Pseudomonadati; Gemmatimonadota
Description: bacterial SSU rRNA
Rfam family: Bacterial small subunit ribosomal RNA
Source: RNAcentral
CAAGGGCAACCGGCGAACGGGUGCGUAACACGUGAGCAACCUGCCGAUCUGUGGGGGAUAGCCGGGCUAACGCCCGGGUAAUACCGCAUACGCUUCUUUUGGGGAGUCCCGAAAGAAGGAAACCUCCGGGGUGGAUCGAGGGGCUCGCGGCCUAUCAGCUAGUUGGUGAGGUCAAGGCUCACCAAGGCGACGACGGGUAGCUGGUCUGAGAGGAUGGCCAGCCACAUUGGGACUGAGAUACGGCCCAGACUCCUACGGGAGGCAGCAGUGGGGAAUAUUGCGCAAUGGCCGAAAGGCUGACGCAGCGACGCCGCGUGUGGGAGGAAGCCUUUCGGGGUGUAAACCACUGUUGCCCGGGACGAAUGACGCUUUUAGAGGCGUUUGACGGUACCGGGUGAGGAAGCACCGGCUAACUCCGUGCCAGCAGCCGCGGUAAUACGGAGGGUGCGAGCGUUGUCCGGAAUCAUUGGGCGUAAAGGGCGCGUAGGUGGUUGGGUAAGUCUAUGGUGAAAGCGCGGGGCUCAACCCCGCGUCUGCCGUGGAUACUGCUUGACUUGAGCACUGUAGAGGCAGGCGGAAUUCCGGGUGUAGCGGUGGAAUGCGUAGAGAUCCGGAAGAACACCAGGGGCGAAGGCGGCCUGCUGGGCAGUUGCUGACACUGAUGCGCGACAGCGUGGGGAGCAAACAGGAUUAGAUACCCUGGUAGUCCACGCCGUAAACGAUGGGUACUAGGCGCUUGGGGGAGCGACCCUCCGAGGGCCGGCGCUAACGCAUUAAGUACCCCGCCUGGGGAGUACGGCCGCAAGGCUGAAACUC